This 1261-nucleotide ribosomal RNA is filed under the name metagenome. Its description in RNAcentral is "SSU rRNA". It matches the Rfam family "Eukaryotic small subunit ribosomal RNA", at positions 517 to 1800 of the family's 1831-position model. The record is from RNAcentral.
AGUACAAUUUAAACCCCUUAACGAGGAUCAAUUAGAGGGCAAGUCUGGUGCCAGCAGCCGCGGUAAUUCCAGCUCUAAUAGCGUAUAUUAAAGUUGUUGCGGUUAAAAAGCUCGUAGUUGGAUUUCGGGACUCGUACCUACGGUCCGGCGUAAGCCGCGAACUGGAGGUUGGGCCCUUCUGUCUGGAGACGGGGGACUUCCUCUUAGUUGAGGGGUCCUCGGUAUCUAGGACUUUUACUUUGAACAAAUUAGAGCGUUUAAAGCAGGCAAUCGCCUGAAUACAUUAGCAUGGAAUAACCGAAUAGGACUUUGGUUCUAUUUUGUUGGUUUUAAGGACCAAAGUAAUGAUUAAUAGGGAUAGUUGGGGGCAUUAAUAUUUAAUUGUCAGAGGUGAAAUUCUUAGAUUUAUGAAAGAUUAACUUCUGCGAAAGCAUUUGCCAAGGAUGUUUUCAUUAAUCAAGAACGAAAGUUAGGGGAUCGAAGACGAUCAGAUACCGUCGUAGUCUUAACCAUAAACUAUGCCGACUAGGGAUUGGAAGAUGUUAUUUUCAUGACUCCUUCAGCACCUUAUGAGAAAUCAAAGUCUUUGGGUUCCGGGGGGAGUAUGGUCGCAAGGCUGAAACUUAAAGGAAUUGACGGAAGGGCACCACCAGGAGUGGAGCCUGCGGCUUAAUUUGACACAACACGGGAAAACUUACCAGGUCCAGACAUAGUAAGGAUUGACAGAUUGAGAGCUCUUUCUUGAUUCUAUGGGUGGUGGUGCAUGGCCGUUCUUAGUUGGUGGAGUGAUUUGUCUGCUUAAUUGCGAUAACGAACGAGACCUUAACCUGCUAAAUAGUUACGCUAACCUUUGGUUUGCGGAUAACUUCUUAGAGGGACUUUUGUGUGUUUUAACCAAAGGAAGUUUGAGGCAAUAACAGGUCUGUGAUGCCCUUAGAUGUUCUGGGCCGCACGCGCGCUACACUGACGAAUUCAACGAGUCUAUAACCUUGGCCGGCAGGUCUGGGUAAUCUUUUAAAGUUCGUCGUGCUGGGGAUUGCACUUUGUAAUUAUGGUGCAUGAACGAGGAAUUCCUAGUAGACGCAAGUCAUCAGCUUGCAUCGAUUACGUCCCUGCCCUUUGUACACACCGCCCGUCGCUCCUACCGAUUGAAUGACCCGGUGAGGCUUUCGGACUGGUUAUGUUGUUUUGGCAACAGAACACGUUUCCGGGAAGAUAUCCUAACCUUGCCAUUUAGAGGAAGGAGAAGUCGUAACAAGGU